UGAGGUUAUAGCUGAUAAUACACUGGGUGCUCCAUACAUGUAAGUUUGAGACAUUGUGAGAGCAGAGAAAGCACAAAGCAAGUAGGAUGCAACCAAACUGAAUGUCUAUCAUUGAAGCCAGGAAAGUAUACGAUGUAGAUGAUGAGAGCAGGCUGGACGCAGAUAAUACGGAGUUCUGGAGCUAACUGGAAAGCCAAUGCUCAAUUGAAACUCAUUUACAAUUUAGAAUUUAAAAUCUCUGUAAGGGACAAACAAAAUAAACACCAAGACUGCUAGUUCACAAACCCUGCAAAGCAAAUGAAACAUUUAUGUUUCAGGCGAGACCACAACUGUGAGCCAUGAGAUGCAGUUGCCCAGUUCUGGGUGUUCCCAUGAAUUAGGGUUCUGGGGAAAGGAAGCCCCAUGGUGCUCCCCGACCAUGUCCCCCCUACUCAGCACCCUCUUCCUCCCAAAGCCAAGAGAAUUGAAGGGCCUUUGAGUCCAUGCCUCUCUUUUAAUUUCAAAACUGAACAUGACCACUCUUUAUUUUUAAUCUUCCCUUCCCCUAGUCUAUGCCUUCAAGCAGCUUUUCUGGGGAGAGAGUGUUGGCGCCCACACUGGCAGAUCUGAGUCCCUGGCCACGUGCCCGCUGUGAUGAGGAUGUUGCCAUGCUCACCCACCCCAGCAGCCUGGAAUCCAGCCUUUAGAGGGGCUCACUUGAGAACUGUCAGCAUGAUGAGGAGAGUGGAAGUCAAGUCCCACAGGUGACCCAGCUAGAGAGAGUGUCCCCAGUCACAAUUGGAGUCUUAUGUAAGAAGAAAUAAGGAAAGCCUACUGGGUUGAAUCUAAAAGUAGAAAACUCAUAACAAGGCUAUGUGUGAACAUCAAGAGAGAAUUCAAGAUGGCGGGGAUGACACUCUUUAGUCCAUGUGUGCCUGGUUUUCAUCAUCUCCUUGACUUACACACAUGUGGGUGCCUUUACCUCUGAAGACUUUUUCUCUUCUAACUGAUGAUGCUCCAUUCUCUUCUGACAAAAGCUCCCUGCCAAGGCCUGAUUGAACCUCUGCCCUGUGGUUCCUUGAAACAUCGUCAUAUUCUUGUACUAAAUUCCCCAUUUUCUUAAGCUAGCUCUGGUAAGUUUUUGCCAUUUACAGUCAAAGUGAACUCACUAAUAAAAUAUUCCCAACUGCA
Long non-coding RNA from Pan troglodytes (chimpanzee), 1170 nucleotides. RefSeq lists it as uncharacterized. The record is from RefSeq and is a predicted model, not a curated record. NCBI's taxonomy places the organism in Eukaryota, Metazoa, Chordata, Mammalia, Primates, Hominidae. The transcript has 4 exons.